AAUGGAAAGAACCUUAUAAGCCUCAUGUCUUGUAAUUCCGUAUAGGAAUGAUUGAAUCUUAGAUUUUCGUUUAUUGCUGCGUAAAUUUAUCAUACUAUAUAUGUGGAGUAGUGCUCAUUUCUCUACGGAGAAAGCGAGUCGUUACAUAAUUUCUCAUUUUAUGAUAAAUAAAAUAGAAAAUAACAAAAAUCGACAAUAUAAAAAGCGGUUAUGGUAUCCAAAUUACACGUGUGUAUUUUGUUUAUUUCCUAUUACUCCGUCAGCAGUGAAAAUUAGAGUUUUAUAACUACAUAUUAAUUUGAAAGGUUUACCAUAUGACGCGAAGGUUGUUUUUAUUAUGGAUUCUUUUAUGUUCAUUCUCUUU
This 364-nucleotide long non-coding RNA is filed under the name Carica papaya (papaya). Its description in RNAcentral is "long non-coding RNA (CPAP_LNC004405)". The record is from RNAcentral. Lineage: Eukaryota; Viridiplantae; Streptophyta; Magnoliopsida; Brassicales; Caricaceae.